CCUACGGGAGGCAGCAGUGAGGAAUAUUGGUCAAUGGGCGGGAGCCUGAACCAGCCAAGCCGCGUGAGGGAAGAAGGUACAGCGUAUCGUAAACCUCUUUUGUCAGGGAACAAAGGCGGGGACUAGUCCCCGGAUGAGGGUACCUGAAGAAAAAGCAUCGGCUAACUCCGUGCCAGCAGCCGCGGUAAUACGGAGGAUGCGAGCGUUAUCCGGAUUUAUGGGGUUAAAAGGGUGCGCAGGCGGCGUGUUAAGUCAGCGGUAAAAGCCCGGGGCUCAACCCCGGCGAGCCGUUGAAACUGGCGGGCUGGAGUUGGAGAGAGGUACGCGGAAUGCGAGGUGUAGCGGUGAAACGCUUAGAGAUCGCGCAGAACCCCGAUUGCGAAGGCAGCGUACCGGCUCCACACUGACGCUGAGGCACGAAAGCGUGGGUAUCGAACAGGAUUAGAUACCCCAGUAGUC
RNAcentral lists this ribosomal RNA (459 nucleotides) under uncultured bacterium. RNAcentral's name for it is "partial 16S ribosomal RNA". It matches the Rfam family "Bacterial small subunit ribosomal RNA", at positions 338 to 795 of the family's 1533-position model. The record is from RNAcentral.